RNAcentral lists this unclassified non-coding RNA (21 nucleotides) under Chlamydomonas reinhardtii. RNAcentral's name for it is "small RNA Cre_2372". Lineage: Eukaryota; Viridiplantae; Chlorophyta; Chlorophyceae; Chlamydomonadales; Chlamydomonadaceae. The record is from RNAcentral.
UAUCCCUGUGGGCUUUGCGCU